UGCAAUAAAAAGUAUUACUUGGAGUGCUGUCCAAAUUACCUUUUAUAUAUUAUUAUCAACAUUUAGGAUCUAGCACCCAGUCUUCAAAGUCUUCUAAGUUUCAGUGUGAGUUGAGCGUGUUAAAUCUUUAUUUAUUUAUUUUAAUUUUUUUUUAAAUAUCCAAAUGCAAAUAAUCUUUGAAUGUGUACAAAAUGGUGAACAGUUUCUUAUUCAUCUAAAUGUUGUAAAGUUUCAGUGUGAGUUGAGCGUGUUAAAUCUUUAUUUAUUUAUUUUAAUUUUUUUUACAAUAUCCAAAUGCAAAUAAUCUUUGAAUGUGUACAAAAUGGUGAACAGUUUCUUAUUCAUCUAAUUGUUGUAAAGGUUUGCUGCCAAAGUCUUGCCUACUAUGACUGAUUCUCACAUUCUGAACACCUUUCUUUCUUAGCCUUCUCUU
This is a long non-coding RNA of Sander lucioperca (pikeperch), 433 nucleotides long. RefSeq lists it as uncharacterized. The record is from RefSeq and is a predicted model, not a curated record. Lineage: Eukaryota; Metazoa; Chordata; Actinopteri; Perciformes; Percidae. The transcript has 2 exons.